Molecule: ribosomal RNA, 498 nt
Filed under: uncultured bacterium
Lineage: Bacteria
Description: bacterial SSU rRNA
Rfam family: Bacterial small subunit ribosomal RNA
Source: RNAcentral
GACGAACGCUGGCGGCGUGCUUAACACAUGCAAGUCGAACGCUGAAGCCCUAGCUUGCUGGGGUGGAUGAGUGGCGAACGGGUGAGUAAUACGUGAGCAACCUGCCCUUCACUCUGGGAUAAGCGCUGGAAACGGUGUCUAAUACUGGAUAUGAGCAACCAUCGCCUGGUGUGUUGUUGGAAAGAUUUAUUGGUGGGGGAUGGGCUCACGGCCUAUCAGCUGGAUGGUGGGGUAAUGGCCUACCAUGGCGACGACGGGUAGCCGGCCUGAGAGGGUGACCGGCCACACUGGGACUGAGACACGGCCCAGACUCCUACGGGAGGCAGCAGUGGGGAAUAUUGCACAAUGGGCGCAAGCCUGAUGCAGCAACGCCGCGUGAGGGAUGACGGCCUUCGGGUUGUAAACCUCUUUUAUCAAGGAAGAAGGGGACCGUAUGGUUUUUGACGGUACUUGGGGAAAAAGCACCGGCUAACUACGUGCCAGCAGCCGCAGUAACAC